This 248-nucleotide ribosomal RNA is filed under the name uncultured bacterium. RNAcentral's name for it is "partial 16S ribosomal RNA". It matches the Rfam family "Bacterial small subunit ribosomal RNA", at positions 791 to 1035 of the family's 1533-position model. The record is from RNAcentral.
UAGUCCACGCCGUAAACGAUGAGUGUUAGAUGUCCGAGGUAAACUCGGGUGUCCCAAGCUAACGCGAUAAGCACUCCGCCUGGGGAGUACGUACGCAAGUAUGAAACUCAAAGGAAUUGACGGGGACCCGCACAAGCAGCGGAGCAUGUGGUUUAAUUCGACGCAACGCGAAGAACCUUACCAAGUCUUGACAUAACUUUGAAGCCUUCUAGAGAUAGUAGGUGUUUGACUUCGGUCAACAAAGCUAC